GACGAACGCUGGCGGCGUGCUUAACACAUGCAAGUCGUACGGUAAGGCCCUUUCGGGGGUCCACGAGUGGCGAACGGGUGAGUAACACGUGAGUAACCUGCCCACAACUUUGGGAUAACGCUAGGAAACUGGUGCUAAUACUGGAUAUGUGCUCCUGCUGCAUGGUGGGGGUUGGAAAGCUCCGGCGGUUGUGGAUGGACUCGCGGCCUAUCAGCUUGUUGGUGGGGUAGUGGCCUACCAAGGCGGCGACGGGUAGCCGGCCUGAGAGGGUGACCGGCCACAGUGGGACUGAGAUACGGCCCAGACUCCUACGGGAGGCAGCAGUGGGGAAGAUUGCACAAUGGGCGCAAGCCUGAUGCAGCAACGCCGCGUGCGGGAUGACGGCCUUCGGGUUGUAAACCGCUUUCAGCAGGGACGAAGCUUUUUGUGACGGUACCUGCAGAAGAAGCACCGGCUAACUACGUG
Molecule: ribosomal RNA, 465 nt
Filed under: uncultured bacterium
Lineage: Bacteria
Description: partial 16S ribosomal RNA
Rfam family: Bacterial small subunit ribosomal RNA
Source: RNAcentral